Molecule: ribosomal RNA, 813 nt
Filed under: uncultured bacterium
Lineage: Bacteria
Description: bacterial SSU rRNA
Rfam family: Bacterial small subunit ribosomal RNA
Source: RNAcentral
UCGAGGGGCAGCACAGGUAGCAAUAUCUGGUGGCGACCGGCGCACGGGUGAGUAACACGUAUGCAACCUACCUGUAAGAGGGGAAUAACCCGGAGAAAUCCGGACUAAUACCGCAUAACACUGUGAUUUCGCAUGAGAUUACAGUUAAAUAUUUAUAGCUUACAGAUGGGCAUGCGUAUGAUUAGCUAGUUGGUGAGGUAACGGCCCACCAAGGCAUCGAUCAUUAGGGGUUCUGAGAGGAAGGUCCCCCACACUGGUACUGAGAUACGGACCAGACUCCUACGGGAGGCAGCAGUGAGGAAUAUUGGUCAAUGGGCGAGAGCCUGAACCAGCCAAGUCGCGUGAAGGAAGAAGGUUCUAUGGAUUGUAAACUUCUUUUGUAAGGGAAUAAAGUGCGGUACGUGUACCGUUUUGUAUGUACUUUACGAAUAAGGAUCGGCUAACUCCGUGCCAGCAGCCGCGGUAAUACGGAGGAUCCAAGCGUUAUCCGGAUUUAUUGGGUUUAAAGGGUGCGUAGGCGGACCUGAAAGUCAGUGGUGAAAGUUUGCAGCUUAACUGUAAAAUUGCCAUUGAAACUCUGGGUCUUGAGUGUAAAUGAGGUAGGCGGAAUGUGUUGUGUAGCGGUGAAAUGCUUAGAUAUAACACAGAACACCAAUUGCGAAGGCAGCUUACUAGGAUACAACUGACGCUGAGGCACGAAAGCGUGGGGAUCAAACAGGAUUAGAUACCCUGGUAGUCCACGCAGUAAACGAUGAAUACUAACUGUAUGCGAUAUACUGUAUGUGGUAAAGCGAAAGCGUUAAGUAUUCCACC